This 451-nucleotide ribosomal RNA is filed under the name uncultured bacterium. Its description in RNAcentral is "bacterial SSU rRNA". It matches the Rfam family "Bacterial small subunit ribosomal RNA", at positions 354 to 796 of the family's 1533-position model. The record is from RNAcentral.
GUCUAGAAUCUUGCGCAAUGGGGGAAACCCUGACGCAGCCACGCCGCGUGGGUGAUGAAGGCCUUCGGGUCGUAAAGCCCUGUCAGGAGGGAAGAGACGGCGAUCGGUUAAUACCCGGUCGUUUCGACGGUACCUCCAGAGGAAGCAUCGGCUAACUACGUGCCAGCAGCCGCGGUAAGACGUAGGAUGCAAGCGUUGUUCGGAAUUAUUGGGCGUAAAGGGCGUGUAGGCGGUCCGUUAAGUUCCGUGUGAAAUCCCUCGGCUCAACCGGGGAACGCCGCGGAAUACUGGCGGACUUGAGUCUGGGAGAGGAAGGUGGAAUUCCCGGUGGAGCGGUGACAUGCGUAGAGAUCGGGAGGAACACCAGUGGCGAAGGCGGCCUUCUGGACCAAGACUGACGCUGAAACGCGAAAGCGUGGGGAGCAAACAGGAUUAGAAACCCGAGUAGUCC